RNAcentral lists this long non-coding RNA (201 nucleotides) under Nicotiana benthamiana. Its description in RNAcentral is "long non-coding RNA (NBEN_LNC012842)". Lineage: Eukaryota; Viridiplantae; Streptophyta; Magnoliopsida; Solanales; Solanaceae. The record is from RNAcentral.
GUUAAAUAAUUUGUAGCCUAAAAUAACGCCUGUAUUUAUGGCUCCUAAUUAAUCUUUGAUUUUGUACCAAAUAAAUGCUAAUUCAGUUAAGGUAAAAUUAGUAUUUCCAGUGUGUUUUUAAAAUGUAGUCAAAUGUAGGUAAAUGUAGUUAAGGUCAUAUGAAGUGUUUCCAGUGAGUUUUUAAAUGUAGUCAAAUGUAGU